GACGAACGCUGGCGGCGUGCCUAAUACAUGCAAGUAGAACGCUGAAGAGAGGAGCUUACUCUUCUUGGAUGAGUUGCGAACGGGUGAGUAACGCGUAGGUAACCUGCCUUGUAGCGGGGGAUAACUAUUGGAAACGAUAGCUAAUACCGCAUAACAAUGGAUGACACAUGUCAUUUAUUUGAAAGGGGCAAUUGCUCCACUACAAGAUGGACCUGCGUUGUAUUAGCUAGUAGGUGAGGUAAUGGCUCACCUAGGCGACGAUACAUAGCCGACCUGAGAGGGUGAUCGGCCACACUGGGACUGAGACACGGCCCAGACUCCUACGGGAGGCAGCAGUAGGGAAUCUUCGGCAAUGGGGGCAACACUGACCGAGCAACGCCGCGUGAGUGAAGAAGGGUGUCGGAUCGUAAAGCUCUGUUGUAAGUCAAGAACGGGUGUGAGAGUGGAAAGUUCACACUGUGACGGUAGCUUACCAGAAAGGGACGGCUAACUACGUG
Molecule: ribosomal RNA, 497 nt
Filed under: uncultured bacterium
Lineage: Bacteria
Description: partial 16S ribosomal RNA
Rfam family: Bacterial small subunit ribosomal RNA
Source: RNAcentral